Molecule: ribosomal RNA, 497 nt
Filed under: uncultured bacterium
Lineage: Bacteria
Description: partial 16S ribosomal RNA
Rfam family: Bacterial small subunit ribosomal RNA
Source: RNAcentral
GAUGAACGCUGGCGGCGUGCCUAAUACAUGCAAGUCGAGCGAACAGACGAGGAGCUUGCUCCUCUGACGUUAGCGGCGGACGGGUGAGUAACACGUGGAUAACCUACCUAUAAGACUGGGAUAACUUCGGGAAACCGGAGCUAAUACCGGAUAAUAUAUUGAACCGCAUGGUUCAAUAGUGAAAGACGGUUUUGCUGUCACUUAUAGAUGGAUCCGCGCCGCAUUAGCUAGUUGGUAAGGUAACGGCUUACCAAGGCAACGAUGCGUAGCCGACGUGAGAGGGUGAUCGGCGACACUGGAACUGAGACACGGUCCAGACUCCUACGGGAGGCAGCAGUAGGGAAUCUUCCGCAAUGGGCGAAAGCCUGACGGAGCAACGCCGCGUGGGUGAUGAAGGUCUGCGGAUCGUAAAACUCUGUUAUUGGGGAAGAACAAAUGUGUAAGUAACUAUGCACGGCUUGACGGUACCUAAUCAGAAAGCCACGGCUAACUACGUG